Molecule: small RNA, 60 nt
Filed under: Vibrio anguillarum
Lineage: Bacteria; Pseudomonadati; Pseudomonadota; Gammaproteobacteria; Vibrionales; Vibrionaceae
Description: Regulatory sRNA gene, VAsrna24
Source: RNAcentral
AACAAUAAUAAAUUACCUCCUACUUCUCUCCCGUUGCCCCACCAGGAUGGUGGGGAUUUU